This 30-nucleotide non-coding RNA is filed under the name Homo sapiens (human). Lineage: Eukaryota; Metazoa; Chordata; Mammalia; Primates; Hominidae. The record is from RNAcentral.
UGCCCGACGGAGCUCAAGGCUAGGCCUGGC